This 72-nucleotide transfer RNA is filed under the name Camelus ferus (Wild Bactrian camel). It matches the Rfam family "tRNA". Rfam says of the family: Transfer RNA (tRNA) molecules are approximately 80 nucleotides in length. Lineage: Eukaryota; Metazoa; Chordata; Mammalia; Artiodactyla; Camelidae. The record is from Rfam by way of RNAcentral.
GAGGGUGCAGCUCAGUGGUAGAGCACGUGCUUAACACGCAUAAGGUCCUAGGUUCAAUCCCCAGCACCUCUG